Molecule: long non-coding RNA, 230 nt
Filed under: Elaeis guineensis (African oil palm)
Lineage: Eukaryota; Viridiplantae; Streptophyta; Magnoliopsida; Arecales; Arecaceae
Description: long non-coding RNA (EGUI_LNC074892)
Source: RNAcentral
GUCCCUACACCCUUGGUAGGCUUCGCAGGCGACGCCGUCACAACAGAAGGGGAAGUCACCCUGCCCGUGACGGUCGGCACCGAACCAUGGCAAAACACGAUCCAUUUGACUUUCACGGUCGUCCAAGUGCCUUCGGCCUACAACGUCAUACUCGGAAGGCCUGGGCUAAAUGCCCUGAAAGUGAUCGUUUCGACGUAUCACCUUCUGGUUUGGUUCCCAACCAAAUACGG